Salmo salar (Atlantic salmon) is the source of this 2424-nucleotide non-coding RNA. Lineage: Eukaryota; Metazoa; Chordata; Actinopteri; Salmoniformes; Salmonidae. The record is from RefSeq and is a predicted model, not a curated record.
GACAUCCCUGAUAUCUGAAUGGCCACUCCGGGUGCCAGGCAAAAAUUGAAUUCGCUAGUGGUAGUUUGAUGCUGAUUGACAUCUCAUUUCACCUCUUGUUGAAAUAAGCAAUUAUUUUGACAUUCGGCAGCGCAUUUAUCAAAAUUGAGGACGAGGACGGGAGAAUAAUAACGUUGUUUGCGAGAUACAGAAGAAUAAAAGAACAUGCAGAAGAAGAAGAAGAGAGAAUAUUUCCACAGCUCCACAAGCUCGUUUCGCGAUUGGCGAAAGCAUCCUAUUUGAAGGUCAAUUAAGCAUGAACAGAAAGGGAGAGAUAUCAGACAUAUUUUUAAAGAAGCACAAACAGGCAGAUCAGGUGCAAACAGACCCCAGGCCUUGCAUCACCACUGGACCCCAGAUCAGCUCCCUACCUGACGCUAGUCAGAGUCAGUGUGGUCAGACUUCAUAAGGACCAAGUCUACCACCACCAGAUGUAUCAAGGGAUGACACAGAGACCUCUGGCUUUGAGCAAGACAGUGAGCCAGAGCUGCCAGGAGAUGUCAUCGAGCCCCUCCCGACUGCAUCAAGCACCCAUAAGGACAUGUGUAGAGAUAUGACACGUUAUUUAAUGUGUAUUUAAGACAUUUCAAGAUCCAGAGAAGAGGGUCCUGUACAGCCGUGUUUGAAAACAUUUCCCAGGACUUUCAACAGCUCCUGGUAGGAGGAUAAUUCAUGGCUUGAAUAUUCUGUAAAUCAAGAUUCAACUUAUUGUUUUGCCUGUAGGCAUUUUUCUCUGCCCAUACACCUGAAUCUACCUUCACAUCACAGUCAGGUUUUUGUAACUGGAAAAAAAGUGCUGUUUAAGCUCCAUUCGAAGGCAGAGCAUCAUAUCAAUGCUAUGUUUGCUUGGAAUCAGCAUAAAAGGGCUAUUGACAGCAACUCAUCAAUGUUAGAUGUUAUAAAUGAGGACCGGAAAAAGAAAGUGGAGAAAAACUGUACUUACAUUAAAACAAUUGCAGAUGUGCUCCUAUUAAAUGCCACUCAAAAUAUAGUGCAGAGGUCAUCGAGAGUCUGGUGACUCUCACAACAAGGGUAAUAUUUUAGAAGAAAUAGCAAAGCAUGACCCCUCAUAGAGAAAAGGAUGAAUGCAUGUGGCAAUGCUAUGUACACAAGCCACCAAAUCCAGAACAAAGUUCUUGAGGGCUGAGCUGAGAUGGUACAAAGGGAAAUCAUAAGAGAAGUAAAAGAAAGUGACGUUUUUAGUGUAAUUGCAGAUGAAACCAAAGAUUUAAAGAAAAAAUAACAAAUGUCUUUAGUUGUGAGCUACUAUUACAACGGGGCCAUCCACAAAAGUUUUUUACACUUUCAGUCAGCUGAAAGCUUAGAUGCAGUAGGUCUCACAAAAAUUAUAAUUGAUUGCCUUGAAAAACAUGGUCUGGGCUACAGAAAUAAUCUUGUGGGGCAAGGCUAUGACGGUGCAUUGGUCAUGAGCGGAAAGCAUUCUGGUGUGUCUGCACGAAUUAAAAACAGUGCAAGAUUUGCAUUUUAUUUGCACUGUCAUGCACAUAGUUUGAAUUUGGUCCUUGUCGAUGCUGUAAAAUCAGUGCCUGAGGCAGUUCACUUUUUUGCUCUCCUGCAGAAGCUUUAUAACUUUGUAUCUGGCUUGUACGUUCAUCUCAAGUGGCUUGGAGUUCAGAAAGAGCUGUAUCCACAGCAGCAGCCCAGGGAACUACAGAGACUUACGGAUGUAAGGUGGGCAUGCAGAUACAUGGCAUGCCGUAAUCUGAGGGACAGGCUUCCAGCAGUUCUGAGAGUGCUACAGGAUAUCACACUUAAAAAUAGUGGUGAUAGAUCAGUGGAGGCAAGGGGCAUUCUUUCUCAGAUAGAUUUACAUUUCAUAGGGCUUUUGGUUACCUUUUGUAAAGUGCUUGGUGAUGCCAAAUGUCUUUCUGACAUGCUCCAAUCAAGCUCUCUUGACCUAGCAAGGGCUGUGGAUCUAGUAGGUGCCCUUACAGACCCAUUACAUGACUACAGAAGUGAGGGUUACUUUGGAGAACUAUGGAAGGAGGUUGAAGAGAUUGCAGAGCACUGCAAAAAUAAGUGUACAAACAGUGUGUAAAAGACAGCCUAAAACAAGCUUAAGAUUUCACGACUCAUUGAUAAUGAGCACUGUAAGACAGAAAAAUAGUGACAAAAGUGAUGGUGAGUUUCCAAAGAGCUAUCUUUUAUCAGGUGCUUGACAGUCUCACAGCUGAGCUGCAGAGGCGUUUUUCAAAGAACAAUUGCGAGAUAAUGGGGGUCCAGUCUCUCAACCCAAAGAGUACAACAUUCUUGAAUGGGGAGCCUCUGUUUGCCUUUGCUCAGACCUUUGAGUCAGAAUUAGAGGACCUCAAACAUGAGGUUCAUCAAACCAAGCGGCUUCUUGAUAGGAGAGAGAAAAGUGGA